CCGCCGCGCCGCCGCCGCCCUCUGCGCCCCGCGGCGCCCCCCGGUCCCGCCCGCCAUGCCCGGCCCGGCCGCGGGCAGCAGGGCCCGGGUCUACGCCGAGGUGAACAGCCUGAGGAGCCGCGAGUACUGGGACUAUGAGGCUCACGUCCCGAGCUGGGGUAAUCAAGAUGAUUACCAACUGGUUCGAAAACUUGGUCGGGGAAAGUAUAGUGAAGUAUUUGAGGCCAUUAACAUCACCAACAAUGAGAGAGUGGUUGUAAAAAUUCUCAAGCCAGUGAAGAAAAAGAAGAUAAAACGAGAGGUUAAGAUUCUGGAGAAUCUUCGUGGUGGAACAAAUAUCAUUAAGCUGAUUGACACUGUGAAGGACCCUGUGUCAAAGACGCCGGCUUUGGUAUUUGAAUAUAUCAAUAAUACAGAUUUUAAGCAACUAUACCAGAUCCUGACAGACUUUGAUAUCCGGUUUUAUAUGUAUGAGCUGCUUAAGGCUCUGGAUUACUGCCACAGCAAGGGAAUCAUGCACAGGGAUGUGAAACCUCACAACGUCAUGAUAGAUCAUCAACAGAAAAAGCUGCGACUGAUAGACUGGGGCCUGGCAGAGUUCUACCACCCUGCUCAGGAGUACAAUGUCCGUGUAGCCUCGAGGUACUUCAAGGGCCCUGAGCUCCUCGUGGACUAUCAGAUGUAUGAUUACAGCUUGGACAUGUGGAGUUUGGGCUGUAUGUUAGCAAGCAUGAUCUUUCGAAAGGAGCCCUUCUUCCAUGGACAGGACAACUACGACCAGCUUGUUCGCAUUGCCAAGGUUCUGGGUACAGAUGAGCUGUAUGGCUAUCUGAAGAAGUAUCACAUAGACCUAGAUCCGCACUUCAACGAUAUCCUGGGACAACAUUCACGGAAACGCUGGGAAAACUUUAUCCAUAGUGAGAACAGACAUCUCGUCAGCCCCGAGGCCCUAGAUCUUCUGGACAAACUUCUGCGAUACGACCAUCAGCAGAGACUGACUGCCAAAGAGGCCAUGGAGCACCCGUACUUCUACCCCGUGGUGAAGGAGCAGUCCCAACCUUGUGCAGACAACGCUGUGCUUUCCAGUGGCCUCACGGCAGCCCGGUGAAGUCUGGAAGGCGACGGGUCUGUUGCGGUUCCUCCCACUUUUCCAUAAGCAGAACAAGAACCAAAUCAAACGUCUUAACGUGUGUAGAGCGCGAUCACGUUCCGUGAGCAGACACAAAAUGGUGGCAGGUUUGGCGAGCACGAACCAGACCAACCGAAGGGCAGCCCGCCACCGUAUUUCAAACCUCACUUCUGAAUGUAAAAGGUUCACACGCCUUUGGCUUCCUGUUGACUUCCUCCUGACCCAGAAAGCAUGGGAAAUGUGAAGGGUGACUGUGGGAACGCAGGUGUGGACACUCACAGUUUCUGAAGCAAUUGUGGGGGGAAAGCAAAGAGGCCCCUCAGGGUCACCACGGCGUCACAGUGGCCCCUGGAGCAGCUUCUGUCGUAUCCAAGCAGUUCCACAGGUGUGGGAGCCCGAGACAGUGCCUGCCCCCCCCCGGCCCCCGGACACCAGCGAGGAGGGCCCGCAGGCCCACCGCCAGCAGACUUUGUAAGGCCGACAGGACAUCGAGUGGAUGGACUUGGGACUUUUCCAGCACCAUCACUGGCCUGGUCUUCUCAAGCAGGCACUCAUGCCGCGGCCCUUUUGACUCCAGGCUCUGCAGAUUUCUCUUGGUCUCCCAGGUCUCUGGGACAGCAUCUCAAUACCUCAUUAUAACGAGCACGUCCCCAAAGCUCCUGAGGACACGGUGCUUUGUGUGCACAUGUUUAUCUACAGAGCACGUUACCUCCGUGGUGACCCACUGGCAUUUGAGGGCCUUCCCAGACCAGAAGGGGCUCUUCGGAGUAGAUACAGUUGAUUGACUUGGGAAUUCUUAGAUGCCAUGCAGAACUCAAAUGUUAGCUCCCCAUUUUUCUUCCCAGGGUGCUCUCUAACUUCCCAGUGGGAAAGUCUUGUUUUCUGGAAACCCCUCGAGCAUAUCAGAUGUUUCUUUUUUGUGGAUGAUUACUGUUGGGCGGAAGAGAGGUUGUAGAAUGAAGGGAAAGGAGGAAUUUUUGCUUAGGCUUUUUUGACCUUGAGAGAAGGGGACAAGGGACCUGCUUACCCAAAAACAGUCUAUAAAGCUCAUCCACAAAGUGCUUGGCAAUUCAGAACAUCAGUUCACAUCUUUCAAUGGCCCUGCUUAUAUUUGGAUUGUUUAAAGUAACAUUUAUUUAUUCUGAUUACCAAAGUAAUAUAUGCUCAUGGUAAGAAAUUCUGAAAGCCUUCCCUUACCACAUGCCGCGCGCCCACACACACACACACACACACACACACACACACACACACACACACACUCUACUCUUUCCUCCCUUGGAGGUAACCAUAGUUAAUUUUGGCGUAUAUCUUGUAAUUUACUAACAUUUAAAAAUCAACGAUUUUUAUUUUUUCAGAAAUGUAAUCAAACCACACAUUCUCUCUCUCUUUUUUGCAACUUGUGCUUUCGCUUACUUGUGACAGUUUUACUGUUAGCACGUAUAGACCUACCUCACCCCUUUUUGUGGCUGCAUGGGGUUCCAUUGUGUGACGUACCACAGUUGAAGCAAUCCCUUCCUGAUGAGAGACUUUUACCAGUACUGUUACCAGUAUUGGUACAAUGAACAAAUCUGCACAUACAUUUUUACACGGUAUGUUUGUGAGAUAAGAUCCUAAAAAGGAAAAACUGUGCUGUAUGUUUUGUUUUAGAAAGGGCACUGCUAUGAUUCAGAGGAAGCAGUCUUCUCUUCCCUUCUCUCACUGGUUUAGGUUGGAACUGGGAUGCCUUUAGUCAUGGAAUUCUUGUGAGGCUCUGUUAGGCACUGGGACAUGAUGCCCAGAGUCUUUGCGCUUUCCAGGGAAACGGGAAUGUUUGAGACCUGAAAAAAAGAAAAGGUGUUGGCGCUAACAUAAGAAAGUUAUGAAAUAAAAAACUAAUAAAUGUAAUUACAUGUCUUUCCAA
Molecule: RNA transcript, 3029 nt
Organism: Felis catus (domestic cat)
Lineage: Eukaryota; Metazoa; Chordata; Mammalia; Carnivora; Felidae
Gene: CSNK2A2
Gene name: casein kinase 2 alpha 2
Exons: 13
Source: RefSeq, a predicted model, not a curated record